GAAAAGGGCCCCUGGUCGCUCCGCCCCAGGGGCGACGCGGGCGGCGAUUCAAGCUGCGCCGCCCCCUUCCUUCCCCUGCUCUCCCUAGCCUCGCCGCCGCCAGAGCAGCCGCCGGCAAAGCCGGGCGGAGGCAAGGAAGGCGGCGGCGGGGCUUCCCAUCUCCCUCGCUCGUGGUCAAGGCGGCUGGGGCGUCG
Molecule: small RNA, 194 nt
Filed under: Oryza sativa Japonica Group (Japanese rice)
Lineage: Eukaryota; Viridiplantae; Streptophyta; Magnoliopsida; Poales; Poaceae
Description: sRNA Os03g0117432
Source: RNAcentral